This is a long non-coding RNA of Tachysurus fulvidraco (yellow catfish), 3018 nucleotides long. RefSeq lists it as uncharacterized. The record is from RefSeq and is a predicted model, not a curated record. NCBI's taxonomy places the organism in Eukaryota, Metazoa, Chordata, Actinopteri, Siluriformes, Bagridae. The transcript has 9 exons.
GCAGUGUUAUCUUCAUUUUAGAUGUCAAAAGAAUUUUGUGGCUCCGUGGUAUUUUUUCUGUGGGAAACGGGUCCAAAUGGCUCUUUGAGUGUUUAAGGUUGCCGACCCCUGGCCUAAACUAACUAACCAAAUAACAAAAGUGUAUUAAUUUAUUUAUGAUGUAAAAUACAUUUAAUGGAUUAAGGUUAUUUAAUUUUAGCAGAACUACACAGCAAAAACUGGAGAGUUGAAAUUUUGGUGUUAAACAUUUCAGAGUUGAUUUCAACACCCAAAGAGUAACUUUAACACAUUCAGAGUAAAAUGGUGUUUGGUGUUGGAGUCAUUUCACAGAGUUGAUCAUCAGUGUUAAACCAACUUCAUGGAGAUGUAAUUGGACUCAUUUUCAAUUGUCGCUAAUGAAAUCCAUGAAGACGCCACCCGCCAUUAUCCUCGCGUUGGUUAAGGUAAGUUAAAUGAAAUGAAAUAAUACUCAAACAUUUAUGAUUGGUGCUAAUUCAAUAACAGCAUGUACAAUAUUACGUGCCGUGGAGCACUGCACUGCACAAGCCAAUGCAUAAACAAAACCUAUAGGCCUAUGUACAUCGCCACGUUUUACAAUGCUCACUCGUUACGAUUCAACUAAAUCAAGCAAUCAAAUUAUUACAGCGUGGCCACGAUUUAAUUAAAAUGAUGGAGCGAAUUAAUAAAAUGAAUGAGAAUGAUCUUUUACAAAGCCUUAUUUAUUGCUAGGACUGGCAUUUUCAAUGUACACCUAGCUAAGUUAGCUACGGAAGAUAUGUAUUUUUUAUUUUUAUUUUUUUUAAAGUAUUAGUCUUACAAGCGUACACACACAGUGUUUCCCGCAGCACUUUGCAGUUCGGGCAGCCCGCCUAAGCUGGGAAACCCUACCGCCUUAACUAGGUCAUCCAAAAAAAAAAAAAAAACAAAUUCCGCUGCAUCUUGGAGAAUAGCGAGGACGCGCUUCACACACCGCCACACGGCCGAAAUGAGAGAAAGACGUGGUCCGUCACUGUCUGGAGGAUAACUAGCCAGUUAGGUGGUGAUUUUGUUGUUUGAGUUCUUCACCUGUUAGCUAGAUUGCACGUGCCUGUUUUUAAUAAUUGUUAAAUGUAGUACAGAGUCUGUGGUCUAUCUCACAAGAAGCACCGGGCCCCUCCCAACCCUACCGCCUUAACUAACAAAUUUUCUGCGGGAAAUACCACUGCCUGCUUUCCCAGUUCAUCUCACCUACUCUGCACACACUUGACACUGGAGGAAAAAAGUACGGUGCAGUUUUCUGUUAUGUCUGCAACGUAAAUAUUGCACAUCUGUACAUUGUGAUAUUAAUCUGGUUAAUGGGAAACGAAAUGACGUGCAGCCAACAUACUUUCAUUUACAACAAUUUACAAUGUCAAACGUUUUAGGUAAAAUGUUGGUCCAGGUCAAGUACAACGAAUAGCAGAAGUAUGUGAAGCUGGAUUGCAUUGAAGAGAGGUUCGACUUCAUGCAAUUUCAUCUAAAAGUCAUUGAGAGAUUUUGCCUGCCACCAGAUGCAACAGUUACAAACAAGGAUGCAACAGGAACAGAAGUUGAUGCAGAGAUAUUCAGUGACCUCGUUGGACAAGGCAAUGUGGUGCUGACUGUUUUCUCAAAUGAUGAAUUUUCAGACUCUUUCUCUUCCAUGUCUGAGAGUUCUGACACUAGUUCAGGUGCAUCAACUAUAAUCUUAGAUGAGGUCCCUAACAAGAGACAAAGAAAAGAGGAAACAUCUGCACUGUCUGCAAAACAGGAACACUUUUAUGAUGCUGCAAGCAACACAGGAUACAUUGCUUGGCGUAUGAAAACUGUCCACAGGCAGAUUCGACGAGGAUCUUUGCCACUAGACAGCCCUCAUGAUGUUUCUCCAGGAGGCCCAAAAUGCCAAAGGGCUACUAAUUUUGAAGGGCAACUUGAUGGGGAUGCUUGCAGAGAAGCUAUGUCUUUGCUCAACCAUACCACAGACAAGUCCCUAAUAUUCCAAAAGAUGAGAGAGACUUUUCAGCAUCGCCAGAAGCUCGUUAAAGAUCCAGGCUCUACUGCUGAUAUCCUCUCCACCUUCCCAAGAUUCCUAGAUACAAAAGGGCUGGUGGAUCAAGACUUCACUCUCCUGUUUGAUGCUGAGACAUCAUCCAGGCUGCUUCAGAAGUGGGACACGUUCUUCAGGCCAAAUGUCAUUAAAGAGGCCAAGCAAGUUACGUCCUGAAAGAACGUCCUGAAGGAAGUUAUCUCCAUGAAACAAUCUAUGACCAGAAAAUGGCAUCUCUUCUUUUAAUGAUACAUCUCCUUCCACCACCACCAGGAGGACAAAAGUCUCCAAAAAUCAGUGCAUGUGAUGCUGCUGAAAGACUUGUAAUCUUUCAUAAGUCAUGCUGCAGUUUGGAGGAGCACCUCAACAGCAACCAGCAUCAGCAUCCAUACCUCCUUGCUGUUGGACGACAGAAAAGCAAGAUUGACAGCUUCUCCAUCACCCUGGAUAAGCAUCUCAUCCCAUGCCAGGCAAACCGCUCCCUUGGAGCAUUUGAUAAAGUUUUCAAGGAGCUGACCUUCUUGUUGCAAGGUUUAUUCAUGUCCGAUUUGUGCAGCCACAAACUUCCUUCACAAGAUCUCCCCAGUCCCACACCUGUGGAUGUGUGUUAGAAGUUCCAAGCAAUUAUACUUCAUACCCUGAGCUUGCAGAGGAGUUCAUAAACAACCUUGAUGCAAACAUAUGGGUGAUGGAUAUUGUGUAAAGGUGGUCAGACAGUAUGUGCAGCAGGAUAUGACUGUUUCUUUGUAUCAUUCACAGUCUCUAUUCUCAAACAGUUUCCUGACAUAGACGUUUUAUCCUGCACAAGAUAAUGUUUUAUAAAAGCUCAGAUGUUCUUACAGCAGUGUUACAAUGUGAUAUAUGUGUUACAAAGAGCAUACAGAUUCACAUUCAGUUUAAAUGUACGUUGUAUGUUUGUAUGUUGUAUGUUAGAGUUUAUUAAUUAAUACUAUUCAACUGACUACAGUUUACAA